RNAcentral lists this ribosomal RNA (497 nucleotides) under uncultured bacterium. RNAcentral describes it as "partial 16S ribosomal RNA". It matches the Rfam family "Bacterial small subunit ribosomal RNA", at positions 28 to 507 of the family's 1533-position model. The record is from RNAcentral.
GAUGAACGCUGGCGGCGUGCCUAAUACAUGCAAGUCGAGCGAACGGACGAGAAGCUUUCUUCUCUGAUGUUAGCGGCGGACGGGUGAGUAACACGUGGAUAACCUACCUAUAAGCCUGGGAUAACUUCGGGAAACCGGGGCUAAUACCGGAUAAUAUUUUGAACCGCAUGGUUCAAAAGUAAAAGACGGUCUUGCUGUCACUUAUAGAUGGAUCCGCGCUGCAUUAGCUAGUUGGUAAGGUAACGGCUUACCAAGGCAACGAUGCAUAGCCGACCUCAGAGGGUGAGCGGCCACACUGGAACUGAGACACGGUCCAGACUCCUACGGGAGGCAGCAGUAGGGAAUCUUCCGCAAUGGGCGAAAGCCUGACGGAGCAACGCCGCGUGAGUGAUGAAGGUCUUCGGAUCGUAAAACUCUGUUAUUAGGGAAGAACAUAUGUGUAAGUAACUGUGCACAUCUUGACGGUACCUAAUCAGAAAGCCACGGCUAACUACGUG